RNAcentral lists this ribosomal RNA (301 nucleotides) under uncultured bacterium. Its description in RNAcentral is "partial 16S ribosomal RNA". It matches the Rfam family "Bacterial small subunit ribosomal RNA", at positions 509 to 807 of the family's 1533-position model. The record is from RNAcentral.
CAGUCGCCGCGGGAAUACGAAGGGGGCUAGCGUUGUUCGGAAUUACUGGGCGUAAAGCGCGCGCAGGCGGUCUUCCAAGUCAGUGGUGAAAGCCCGGAGCUCAACUCCGGAACUGCCAUUGAAACUGUUAGACUUGAGGACGAGAGAGGUGAGUGGAAUUCCCAGUGUAGAGGUGAAAUUCGUAGAUAUUGGGAAGAACACCGGUGGCGAAGGCGGCUCACUGGCUCGUUUCUGACGCUCAGGCGCGAUAGCGUGGGGAUCAAACAGGAUUAGAUACCCGAGUAGUCCCUGUCUCUUAUAC